GAAAUGCGAUAAUUAAUGUGAAUUGCAGAAUUCAGUGAAUCAUCGAGUCUUUGAACGCACAUUGCGCCCCCUGGUAUUCCGGGGGGCAUGCCUGUCCGAGCGUCAUUGCUGCCCUCAAGCAAGGCUUGUGUGUUGGGCUUCCGUCCCUGGCAACGGGGACGGGCCCAAAAGGCAGUGGCGGCACCAUGUCUGGUCCUCGAGCGUAUGGGGCUUUGUCACCCGCUCCCGUAGGUCCAGCUGGCAGCUAGCCUCGCAACCAAUCUUUUUAACCAGGUUGACCUCGGAUCAGGUAGGGAUACCCGCUGAACUUAAGC
This 314-nucleotide unclassified non-coding RNA is filed under the name plant metagenome. Its description in RNAcentral is "partial contains 5.8S ribosomal RNA, internal transcribed spacer 2, and large subunit ribosomal RNA". The stretch from base 1 to 105 matches the Rfam family "5.8S ribosomal RNA", at positions 50 to 154 of the family's 154-position model. The record is from RNAcentral.